RNAcentral lists this ribosomal RNA (253 nucleotides) under uncultured bacterium. RNAcentral describes it as "partial 16S ribosomal RNA". It matches the Rfam family "Bacterial small subunit ribosomal RNA", at positions 524 to 776 of the family's 1533-position model. The record is from RNAcentral.
UACGGGGGGGGCAAGCGUUGUUCGGAAUUACUGGGCGUAAAGCGCUCGUAGGCGGAUUUGUAAGUCAGGGGUGAAAUCCCGGGGCUCAACCUUGGAAUUGCUUGUGAUACUGUGAGUCUCGAGUCCGGUAGAGGUGGGUGGAAUUCCUAGUGUAGCGGUGAAAUUCGUAGAUAUUCGGAGGAACACCGGUGGCGAAGGCGGCUCUCUGGACCGGUACUGACGCUGAGGCGCGAAAGCUAGGGGAGCAAACGGG